CUCAAAUCAGGUGGGACUACCCGCUGAACUUAAGCAUAUCAAUAAGCGGAGGAAAAGAAACUAACAAGGAUUCCCCUAGUAACUGCGAGUGAAGCGGGAAGAGCUCAAAUUUAAAAUCUGGCAGUUUUUGAAGCUGUCCGAGUUGUAAUUUAGAGAAGU
This 159-nucleotide ribosomal RNA is filed under the name Asterostroma muscicola. RNAcentral's name for it is "partial 25S ribosomal RNA". It matches the Rfam family "Eukaryotic large subunit ribosomal RNA", at positions 1 to 159 of the family's 3401-position model. Lineage: Eukaryota; Fungi; Basidiomycota; Agaricomycetes; Russulales; Lachnocladiaceae. The record is from RNAcentral.